Molecule: ribosomal RNA, 468 nt
Filed under: uncultured bacterium
Lineage: Bacteria
Description: partial 16S ribosomal RNA
Rfam family: Bacterial small subunit ribosomal RNA
Source: RNAcentral
GACGAACGCUGGCGGCGGGCUUAACACAUGCAAGUCGAACGGAAAGGCCCUGCUUUUGUGGGGUUCUCGAGUGGCGAACGGGUGAGUAACACGUGAGUAACCUUCCCUGGACUUUGGGAUAACUUCAGGAAACUGGGGCUAAUACCGGAUAGGAGCUCCUGCUGCAUGGUGGGGGUUGGAAAGUUUCGGCGGUUGGGGAUGGACUCGCGGCUUAUCAGCUUGUUGGUGGGGGAGUUGCUUACCAAGGCUUUGAAGGAUAGCCGGCAUGAGAGGGUGACCGGCCACAUUGGGACUGAGAUACGGACCAGACUCCUACGGGAGGCAGCAGUGGGGAAUAUUGCCCAAUGGGCGGAAGCCUGAUGAAGAAACGCCGCGUGCGGGAUGACGGCCUUCGGGUUGUAAACCGCUUUCGCCUGUGACGAAGCGUGAGUGACGGUAAUGGGUAAAGAAGCACCGGCUAACUACGUG